GAUGAACGCUGGCGGUAUGCUUAACACAUGCAAGUCGAACGGUCACUUCGGUGAUAGUGGCGGACGGGUGAGUAACGCGUGAGAAUCUGUCUUCAGGUCGGGGACAACAGUUAGAAAUGACUGCUAAUACCGGAUAUGCCUUAUGGUGAAAGAUUUAUUGCCUGAAAGAGAGCUCGCGUCAGAUUAGCUAGUAGGUGGUGUAAGAGACUACCUAGGCGACGAUCUGUAGCUGGUCUGAGAGGACGAUCAGCCACACUGGAACUGAGACACGGUCCAGACUCCUACGGGAGGCAGCAGUGGGGAAUUUUCCGCAAUGGGCGAAAGCCUGACGGAGCAAUACCGCGCGAGGGACGAAGGCUUUUAGGGUCGUAAACCCCUUUUCUCAAGGAAGAUUUAGACGGUACUUGAGGAAUAAGCAUCGGCUAACUCUGUGCCGGCAGCCGCGGUAAU
Molecule: ribosomal RNA, 450 nt
Filed under: uncultured cyanobacterium
Lineage: Bacteria; Bacillati; Cyanobacteriota
Description: bacterial SSU rRNA
Rfam family: Bacterial small subunit ribosomal RNA
Source: RNAcentral